Non-coding RNA from Ameiurus melas (black bullhead), 71 nucleotides. The record is from the annotation of a GenBank genome assembly. NCBI's taxonomy places the organism in Eukaryota, Metazoa, Chordata, Actinopteri, Siluriformes, Ictaluridae.
CGCACAGUGGCUUAGUGGUUAGCACGAUCCUCACACAUACAGGGUCCGGGGUUCGAUUCCCACCAGGGCCA